CAGUAGUAGGACAGGGGGCCGUUUCUACUGUCAGAGAUGCUGCCACUCGUCUCACAGUGAACCGGUCUCUUUUCCUGCUAUUCA
Non-coding RNA from Danio rerio (zebrafish), 84 nucleotides. The record is from Rfam. Lineage: Eukaryota; Metazoa; Chordata; Actinopteri; Cypriniformes; Danionidae.